Molecule: unclassified non-coding RNA, 329 nt
Filed under: soil metagenome
Description: partial contains 5.8S ribosomal RNA, internal transcribed spacer 2, and large subunit ribosomal RNA
Rfam family: 5.8S ribosomal RNA (bases 1-120)
Source: RNAcentral
GAUGAAGAACGUAGUGAAAUGCGAUAAGUAAUGUGAAUUGCAGAAUUCAGUGAAUCAUCGAAUCUUUGAACGCACAUUGCGCCACUUGGUAUUCCGAGGGGCAUGCCUGUUCGAGCGUCAUUAUAACCCCUCAAGCUCAGCUUGGUGUUGGGGCCUGCUGCACUGGCAGCCCUUAAAAUCAGUGGCGGCGCCAUCUGGCUCUAAGCGUAGUAAUUCUUCUCGCUAUGGAGUCCUGGUGGAUGCUUGCCAUCAACCCCCAAUUUUUCUAUGGUUGACCUCGGAUCAGGUAGGGAUACCCGCUGAACUUAAGCAUAUCAAUAAGCGGAGGA